Sinocyclocheilus rhinocerous is the source of this 1265-nucleotide long non-coding RNA. RefSeq lists it as uncharacterized. Lineage: Eukaryota; Metazoa; Chordata; Actinopteri; Cypriniformes; Cyprinidae. The record is from RefSeq and is a predicted model, not a curated record. The transcript has 2 exons.
UUGGCGGAGAGACGGUAAAGAUCGGAAGUAGUUUGUGCAUGCUAAUGAAGGAGUUGGGGUUGUGGAUAUUUACGUUCAGCGGGAGCCGCCCUUCAUUCACCACAUGGUUAAAAGCUGAGCACGUUCGCGCCACUUUCGCAAUGUUACUACGGUUUAGUAACGCUACCCACAGCGUGCUCGGAUGCGGCGCGCGCUGAUGGUGUAUUUCUACCGCUGGCGCUAGAAGUUCACCGUUUAGUUUCGACGAUUUGCCCGGAGCGUUGACAGUAAGCGAAAAACCAUCACCACCUCCAGUCACCUUAUCCCAGGGUCCACAUUAGUGGCAUGAAACGCUUUGGUCCACUGCUAACGCCAUCCCAAAGAUGGAUCUGCGCUUGUCAACUGCAUGUCGGCGUAGUGUCAAAGUGCUUACAGUGCAGGUAGUUCUGUAAAAUCUACUGCAGUGGAGGCACUUCAAGCUCUACUUUGACAUGAACGCACACGAGCGGCGACGUGAACUACUGCUUAUGCUAAGGUGCAUUUAGUGCAGAUAGUGAAAUAGACUAGCACCUACUGCCCUAAGUGCCCCUUCUGGCAUAAGGGGCUGGCAAACCCCGCUGUUCCCCAUUGGCUGUCCCCUAUUCUUUGAUUUCAUUGCAGUUCUCUGCUAGUUUUGCAUAGUUGCACUACAAGAAAUAUUGAGUUGUGCAAAUCUAUGCAAAACUGAUGGUGGCCUGCGUCCCCAUCCUUUCCUGUGCUUUUGACUUCGAGCGGCUCUGCUUUAGCGUGCAUUCUUUUCAGGUUAACCCCUGUUUGUCGCGGCUCUGCGCUGUGAAACUCUCACUCUGGUUCCAGCAGUAUUAAAGUGCUUAUAGUGCAGGUAGUUUAUUAAAAUGCAUAUCUACUGCAAUGUGAGCACUUCAAGUACUUCUAGAUGCGAGCGUCGCGGAGAGAGAGAGAGAGAACAUCACGCUUUCUUGUGCACACUGUCCUGGUUCGUUUUGCUGGUUUGCAGUCAGCGUUCGUAUCGUUGCUGUGCAAAUCCAUGCAAAACUGAUCAUAACAGUGAGGAAUCUCCGCUUCCCGUCACUUUCCAGCAUCCCUUUCUUUGCAGGUUGGGAUCAGCCGCAAUGCUCUGCGCUGGAAGUAUUGCACUUGUCCCGGCCUGUGAAGAGCAUGGGAAAUUGUUCAGCUGCUUUUGUGUUUUAAUAAAUUUGGACAUGUUUUUUUUUUUCCUGAUUUGGGUUUGUUGGAAUUUGAUCAUCUCAAUAAAAGUUUUAAAUGCA